AUCCAACAAAUCAGAGUAUCAAUGAAGUGAAGGAAAACUGACAACCUAAUCACAAUCCAGAAUUAAGAGAAACAUGCAAAAUUGUACACAAGACAAAACAAAAACUACCUAAAAAAUGAAAAAUUUAACGCAGAAAACAUAACUAACAAAGAAAAAUUAGAAUCUCCAACGAAAAAUUUAACGCAAAAAACAUAACUAACAAAGAAAAAUCAGAAUCUCCCCCA
Molecule: long non-coding RNA, 224 nt
Filed under: Vigna radiata
Lineage: Eukaryota; Viridiplantae; Streptophyta; Magnoliopsida; Fabales; Fabaceae
Description: long non-coding RNA (VRAD_LNC015787)
Source: RNAcentral